RNAcentral lists this ribosomal RNA (496 nucleotides) under uncultured bacterium. RNAcentral describes it as "partial 16S ribosomal RNA". It matches the Rfam family "Bacterial small subunit ribosomal RNA", at positions 28 to 506 of the family's 1533-position model. The record is from RNAcentral.
GAUGAACGCUGGCGGCGUGCCCAAUACAUGCAAGUCGAGCGAACAGACGAGGAGCUUGCUCCUCUGACGUUAGCGGCGGACGGGUGAGUAACACGUGGAUAACCUACCUAUAAGACUGGGAUAACUUCGGGAAACCGGAGCUAAUACCGGAUAAUAUAUUGAACCGCAUGGUUCAAUAGUGAAAGACGGUUUUGCUGUCACUUAUAGAUGGAUCCGCGCCGCAUUAGCUAGUUGGUAAGGUAACGGCUUACCAAGGCAACGAUGCGUAGCCGACCUGAGAGGGUGAUCGGCCACACUGGAACUGAGACACGGUCCAGACUCCUACGGGAGGCAGCAGUAGGGAAUCUUCCGCAAUGGGCGAAAGCCUGACGGAGCAACGCCGCGUGAGUGAUGAAGGUCUUCGGAUCGUAAAACUCUGUUAUUAGGGAAGAACAAAUGUGUAAGUAACUAUGCACGUCUUGACGGUACCUAAUCAGAAAGCCACGGCUAACUACGU